RNAcentral lists this ribosomal RNA (508 nucleotides) under uncultured bacterium. RNAcentral describes it as "partial 16S ribosomal RNA". It matches the Rfam family "Bacterial small subunit ribosomal RNA", at positions 28 to 507 of the family's 1533-position model. The record is from RNAcentral.
GACGAACGCUAGCGGCGUGCCUAAUACAUGCAAGUCGAACGCUUCUUUCCUCCCGAGUGCUUGCACUCAAUUGGAAAGAGGAGUGGCGGACGGGUGAGUAACACGUGGGUAACCUACCCAUCAGAGGGGGAUAACACUUGGAAACAGGUGCUAAUACCGCAUAACAGUUUAUGCCGCAUGGCAUAAGAGUGAAAGGCGCUUUCGGGUGUCGUUGAUGGAUGGACCCGCGGUGCAUUAGCUAGUUGGUGAGGUAACGGCUCACCAAGGCCACGAUGCAUAGCCGACCUGAGAGGGUGAUCGGCCACACUGGGACUGAGACACGGCCCAGACUCCUACGGGAGGCAGCAGUAGGGAAUCUUCGGCAAUGGACGAAAGUCUGACCGAGCAACGCCGCGUGAGUGAAGAAGGUUUUCGGAUCGUAAAACUCUGUUGUUAGAGAAGAACAAGGACGUUAGUAACUGAACGUCCCCUGACGGUAUCUAACCAGAAAGCCACGGCUAACUACGUG